ACACACACACACACACACGCACUAUAUCUGUAUCUAUAUAUAGUGUUAAAAGCCAGGGAGACUUUGUAUGUUUGUGUGUGUGUGUGUGUGUGUGUGUGUGUGU
Podarcis lilfordi (Lilford's wall lizard) is the source of this 103-nucleotide non-coding RNA. Lineage: Eukaryota; Metazoa; Chordata; Lepidosauria; Squamata; Lacertidae. The record is from the annotation of a GenBank genome assembly.